RNAcentral lists this long non-coding RNA (626 nucleotides) under Fukomys damarensis (Damara mole-rat). RNAcentral's name for it is "lncRNA (ENSFDAG00000030843.1)". Lineage: Eukaryota; Metazoa; Chordata; Mammalia; Rodentia; Bathyergidae. The record is from RNAcentral.
AUCUCUAAUGUGCAAAAGAAACAAAGCACAUUGGCUAAUAGCAAUAAAAAGAGUAAAGUUAAUAUAGCAUUGAGGAACUUAAGGUAUGGCCGGGGUGUUCACAAGUGCAUUAACUGUUGUUCUGAAAUAAAAUAUUUUGCAAACCAUUUUCCUGCGUACAUCCACUGUAGUUUUUGCAGAUACAACACCAGCUGUAGCAAAGCCUAUGUAAAUCAUAUGAGGAGUUUUCAUAGUAGUCCAAGUAAAGGGUUUUAUAUAUUUAAGAAGCAUUGAGAAGAUCUCAGGGACGUUACUCUAGAGUGCCUUAAUUGUGAUUUCCUAUCUGAUGUUUCUAGCUUAGAUAAUAUGGCCACACGCUUAAAUCAACAUGAAAUUCACACUUGCCACAUUGAAACAGAGAAAGUUUCUGUUUGUAUCCCAACUUCUGAACAUCUUUCUGAAUUAAAAAAUGAAGCUCCCACUAAGGAACAAAGACCUAUGUCUAAGGAAAUUGAAAGACCAAAUAUGGCUGAAGGAGAAACAGAAACAUCAAGUCCCAAAAGUAAGCAAGAUGAAGCUUUAUCAGAAGAAAAACAUGGAUGUGAUGCAAAUUUACUUGAAGGCUCAUCAGCAAUACAAAAGGAAGA